This 498-nucleotide ribosomal RNA is filed under the name uncultured bacterium. RNAcentral describes it as "partial 16S ribosomal RNA". It matches the Rfam family "Bacterial small subunit ribosomal RNA", at positions 28 to 507 of the family's 1533-position model. The record is from RNAcentral.
GACGAACGCUGGCGGCGUGCCUAAUACAUGCAAGUCGAACGAGAGCGACCGGUGCUUGCACUGGUCAAUCUAGUGGCGAACGGGUGAGUAACACGUGGGUAACCUGCCCAUCAGAGGGGGAUAACAUUCGGAAACGGUGUCUAAAACCGCAUAGGUUUUCGAACCGCAUGGUUCGCAGGUUAAAAGAGGUGCUUGCUUCUGUAGAUGGAUGCACCCGCGGUGCAUUAGCUAGGUUGUGAGGUAACGGCCCACCAAGGCCGGGAUGCAUAGCCGACCUGAAGGGGUGGUCGGACAGAUUGGCAGUGAGGCACGGCCGCAACUCCGGCGGGAGGAAGCGGUAGGGAAUCUUCCGCGAUGGACGCGAGUCUGACGGUGCAACGCCGCCUGAGUGCAGAAGGAUUUAGGAUCGGAGAGCUCUGUUGUUAGUGGAGAACUAGUGCUAGUGUAACUGUUAGCGCAUUGACGGUAUCUAGCCAAAAAGCCACGGCUAACUACGUG